This 430-nucleotide ribosomal RNA is filed under the name Pseudomonadota bacterium. Its description in RNAcentral is "Proteobacteria bacterium partial 16S ribosomal RNA". It matches the Rfam family "Bacterial small subunit ribosomal RNA", at positions 355 to 776 of the family's 1533-position model. Lineage: Bacteria; Pseudomonadati; Pseudomonadota. The record is from RNAcentral.
UGGGGAAUAUUGGACAAUGGGGGGAACCCUGAUCCAGCCAUGCCGCGUGUGUGAAGAAGGCCUUAUGGUUGUAAAGCACUUUAAGCGAGGAGGAGGGUACUGGUAUUAAUACUACCAGCUACUGGACGUUACUCGCAGAAUAAGCACCGGCUAACUCUGCGCCAGCAGCCGCGGUAAUACAGAGGGUGCGAGCGUUAAUCGGAUUUACUGGGCGUAAAGCGUGCGUAGGCGGCUAAUUGAGUCGGAUGUGAAAUCCCCGAGCUUAACUUGGGAAUUGCAUUCGAUACUGGUUAGCUAGAGUGUGGGAGAGGAUGGUAGAAUUCCAGGUGUAGCGGUGAAAUGCGUAGAGAUCUGGAGGAAUACCGAUGGCGAAGGCAGCCAUCUGGCCUAACACUGACGCUGAGGUACGAAAGCAUGGGGAGCAAACAGG